This 1247-nucleotide ribosomal RNA is filed under the name metagenome. RNAcentral describes it as "bacterial LSU rRNA". It matches the Rfam family "Bacterial large subunit ribosomal RNA", at positions 1635 to 2874 of the family's 2925-position model. The record is from RNAcentral.
UACACGACCGUACCGCAAACCGACACUGGUGCGCGAGAUGAGUAUUCUAAGGCGCUUGAGAGAACUCAGGAGAAGGAACUCGGCAAAUUGACACCGUAACUUCGGAAGAAGGUGUGCCCUAUUAGUGUGAAGUGAACAACGGAGCAUGAAUGGGUUGCAAAAAAUCGGUGGCUGCGACUGUUUAUUAAAAACACAGCACUCUGCAAACACGAAAGUGGACGUAUAGGGUGUGACGCCUGCCCGGUGCUGGAAGAUUAAAUGAUGGGGUGCAAGCUCUUGAUUGAAGUCCCAGUAAACGGCGGCCGUAACUAUAACGGUCCUAAGGUAGCGAAAUUCCUUGUCGGGUAAGUUCCGACCUGCACGAAUGGCGUAACGAUGGCCACACUGUCUCCUCCUGAGACUCAGCGAAGUUGAAAUGUUUGUGAUGAUGCAAUCUCCCCGCGGAAAGACGGAAAGACCCCAUGAACCUUUACUGUAGCUUUGUAUUGGACUUUGAACAGAUCUGUGUAGGAUAGGUGGGAGGCUUUGAAGCAGGGUCGCUAGAUCUUGUGGAGCCAACGUUGAAAUACCACCCUGGUGUGUUUGAGGUUCUAACCUAGGUCCAUUAUCUGGAUCGGGGACAGUGCAUGGUAGGCAGUUUGACUGGGGCGGUCUCCUCCCAAAGCGUAACGGAGGAGUUCGAAGGUACGCUAGUUACGGUCGGACAUCGUGACGAUAGUGCAAUGGCAUAAGCGUGCUUAACUGCGAGACUGACAAGUCGAGCAGAUGCGAAAGCAGGACAUAGUGAUCCGGUGGUUCUGUAUGGAAGGGCCAUCGCUCAACGGAUAAAAGGUACUCUGGGGAUAACAGGCUGAUACCGCCCAAGAGUUCAUAUCGACGGCGGUGUUUGGCACCUCGAUGUCGGCUCAUCUCAUCCUGGGGCUGUAGCCGGUCCCAAGGGUAUGGCUGUUCGCCAUUUAAAGAGGUACGUGAGCUGGGUUUAAAACGUCGUGAGACAGUUUGGUCCCUAUCUUCCGUGGGCGCUGCAGAUUUGAGGAAGCCUGCUCCUAGUACGAGAGGACCGGAGUGGACACACCUCUGGUGUAUCGGUUGUCACGCCAGUGGCAUUGCCGAGUAGCUAAGUGUGGAAGAGAUAACCGCUGAAAGCAUCUAAGCGGGAAACUCGUUUCAAGAUGAGAUCUGCCGGGGCCUUGAGCCCCCUAAAGAGUCGUUCAAGACCAGGACGUUGAUAGGUCAGGUGUGGAAGC